RNAcentral lists this unclassified non-coding RNA (246 nucleotides) under Hevea brasiliensis (rubber tree). Lineage: Eukaryota; Viridiplantae; Streptophyta; Magnoliopsida; Malpighiales; Euphorbiaceae. The record is from RNAcentral.
AAAAGAUUCUGAUAUUACUGGAAAGACAUUAUAACACAGAAUAGAAAACAGCAAUUUUCAAUCAUCUCUUGGUUGGAAUAUUCAACUACAAUGUACCAUUGUUUACUGUUCGUCAUUUAUUGGGUAAGCAACAUCCAAAUCAUCAAACACUCAAAAGUGUCAAGAUCAAAACUUUUUAAUCUCAAGUUUCUUGGGAGCCAACCAGGAGAAAAUAAGAGGGAAAAAAAACCCAGAAAUAGACACGCA